CUGGUGUAGAAAUUAAAAUCUGGCUUCGUUCUGACUAAUGAAAUGCUCUCCACUAAUGGCACCUAGCCAAAUGGUACCUGUGCUGGGUUAAUAAUAAGAGCUACUUGUUUGCUGAGUGCAGAUAUCCUGAAGUAAUAAAUGUGAGUCUGUGUUUGCAAAAGUAAUCUAGCUUUUCCAGUAUAUUACUCUAGCAAAUUAAUUUUCUUAGAUACAGAUAUCGCCUCGCAGUAUGGAUAUUAAUCUGGAAUGGACAUAGAAAGGGGACUUUGCUACGUCAUUUUUCCAAUGUGGGACCUUGCAGAACAUCACGACAGAUAAGAGAAUUUGUUUGAGAUGACAAUUGCUUGCUGUUCUCUAGUGAACUCUUUGUGUUUAGACAUCCUCAGGCUUUGAUACGAUGGCAGUUGAGGUCAAUUAAACCUCCAUCACAGAGCCCCAAGCCCUGCUCUCUGCAGAAACAAAGGAAUGCUCUCUUCGGGGAAGC
Nothoprocta perdicaria is the source of this 484-nucleotide long non-coding RNA. RefSeq lists it as uncharacterized. The transcript is spliced from 3 exons. NCBI's taxonomy places the organism in Eukaryota, Metazoa, Chordata, Aves, Tinamiformes, Tinamidae. The record is from RefSeq and is a predicted model, not a curated record.